UGCCGAAAACCUUUGGACAGUCCAAUGU
RNAcentral lists this non-coding RNA (28 nucleotides) under Homo sapiens (human). The record is from RNAcentral. Lineage: Eukaryota; Metazoa; Chordata; Mammalia; Primates; Hominidae.